This 253-nucleotide ribosomal RNA is filed under the name uncultured bacterium. RNAcentral describes it as "partial 16S ribosomal RNA". The stretch from base 27 to 253 matches the Rfam family "Bacterial small subunit ribosomal RNA", at positions 550 to 776 of the family's 1533-position model. The record is from RNAcentral.
UACCAGCACCCCGAGUGGUCGGGACGAUUAUUGGGCCUAAAGCAUCCGUAGCCGGCCUUACAAGUCCUCCGUUAAAUCCAGCUGCUUAACAGAUGGGCUGCGGAGGAUACUAUAAGACUAGGAGGCAGGAGAGGCAAGCGGUACUCAGUGGGUAGGGGUAAAAUCCGUUGAUCCAUUGAAGAACACCAGUGGCGAAGGCGGCUCACUGGCCCGAUACUGACGCUGAGGCACGAAAGCGUGGGGAGCAAACAGG